ACAUGUCCUUAAGUUUUAAUUUUUAGGUUUGACCUGCCCAAUGAAUAAUAUUUGAAUGGCUGCAGUAUUUUAACUGUACUAAGGUAGCAUAAUCAUUUGUCUUUUAAUUGUUGGCUGGAAUGAAUGGUUGGACAAAAUAUAAACUUUCUUUUUUUUAAUUAAUUAAUUUAAUUUUUAAGUUAAAAAGCUUAAAUUUUUUUAAGGGACGAUAAGACCCCGUAGAUUUUUAUAUCUAUUUUUAUUGAAUUAUUUGGUUAUAAUUUUAUAAUUUGUUUUAUUUAAUUAGGUAUUAAGUUGGGGUGACUAUUGAAUUUUUUUAACUUCAAUUUUAUAUAUUUCAUUUAUUUAGUUGUUUUUUUUGAUCCAAUUUUUUUGAUUAGAAGAUUAAAUUACCUCGGGGAUAACAGCGUAAUUUCUUUGGAAAGUUCAUAUUGAUAAAGAAGUUUGCGACCUCGAUGUUGGAUUAAAAUUUAUUUUUUGGUGCAGUAAUUAAUUAAUUUAGGUCUGUUCGACCUAUAAAAUUUUACAUGA
This 531-nucleotide ribosomal RNA is filed under the name Caecina sp. MF-2017. Its description in RNAcentral is "partial 16S ribosomal RNA". The stretch from base 400 to 531 matches the Rfam family "Bacterial large subunit ribosomal RNA", at positions 2473 to 2603 of the family's 2925-position model. Lineage: Eukaryota; Metazoa; Arthropoda; Insecta; Hemiptera; Reduviidae. The record is from RNAcentral.